Molecule: non-coding RNA, 46 nt
Organism: Trichobilharzia regenti
Lineage: Eukaryota; Metazoa; Platyhelminthes; Trematoda; Strigeidida; Schistosomatidae
Source: Rfam
GUACUGAUGAGGAGUCCCAAACGUGGACGAAACAGCUGUCUAGUAC